GUAACAAUGCCUCGGUCUCUUUGUGUAUGUGUUUGUAGAAUACGCAAUGAAAUACUGUCUCAUCCAAAAACCUUUACUAGAAAAAACCCAGUGAAAAAAAUCUCGGUGAAAGAAAAGAAUGCAGUGCGUAUUUAUAGAUGGCACUGAGCCUACAAGAACUCUCCAAUCUUUUGCUUGUGUGGUUAGAGGUUUGUUUCCAUCUCCAACUAGUCUUUUUUGUACUCAAACCCUUCCAUUUGACGAGGUAUUCCUUGUAUGGUUGGCGCUUGGUGGUGGUUUUGACAACUCAUUUUGU
RNAcentral lists this unclassified non-coding RNA (295 nucleotides) under Hevea brasiliensis (rubber tree). The record is from RNAcentral. Lineage: Eukaryota; Viridiplantae; Streptophyta; Magnoliopsida; Malpighiales; Euphorbiaceae.